RNAcentral lists this ribosomal RNA (492 nucleotides) under uncultured bacterium. RNAcentral's name for it is "partial 16S ribosomal RNA". It matches the Rfam family "Bacterial small subunit ribosomal RNA", at positions 29 to 507 of the family's 1533-position model. The record is from RNAcentral.
AGUGAACGCUGGCGGUAGGCCUAACACAUGCAAGUCGAACGGCAGCACAGUAAGAGCUUGCUCUUACGGGUGGCGAGUGGCGGACGGGUGAGGAAUACAUCGGAAUCUACUUUUUCGUGGGGGAUAACGUAGGGAAACUUACGCUAAUACCGCAUACGACCUACGGGUGAAAGCAGGGGAUCUUCGGACCUUGCGCGAUUGAAUGAGCCGAUGUCGGAUUAGCUAGUUGGCGGGGUAAAGGCCCACCAAGGCGACGAUCCGUAGCUGGUCUGAGAGGAUGAUCAGCCACACUGGAAGUGAGACAAGGGCCAGACUACUACGGGAGGCAGCAGUGGGGAAUAUUGGACAAUGGGCGCAAGCCUGAUCCAGCCAUACCGCGGGGGUGAAGAAGGCCUUCGGGUUGUAAAGCCCUUUUGUUGGGAAAGAAAAGCAGCAGGUUAAUACCCCGCUGUUCUGACGGUACCCAAAGAAUAAGCACCGGCUAACUUCGUG